GCCACUUAGGAUUCUGAAAGUAUGGGCACAUGCUGUUAGCAUUUUUGUCUAAGCUCCACCCCACAGUUACCUGGCAACAGCCAGGUAAGCCUGACUCACUAUAAAAGGGGCUGCUUGCCUGCUCCACUCUCCCUUGCUUGCCUUCUUGCUUCUGCUCUGUCCUCUCCUCCCUUCCCCCUCUCCUGGCAUUCCGUUCCCCAGGCCCUUCCACGAGCUCAUGGCCGAACUCUACUUCUCUACUCCUCCCUCCCCGUACCCUGAAGAAACUCUGUUCUAUACUAUACCGUACUAUACCAUUGCAUUUGUCUAGUCUCUCAGGGGGACGGGAUGCCUCAGCAUGAACCCGCUGAGGUUCAGGGCCUGUGUCAGUAAGCCUGGGCCCGGGGUGCCAAGCAUUUGUGGACUCUCGAAUCAAGGUUUGGGAAUGGGAACCAGGUGUGCCCGACUCUGCCAGGUGGCUGUGGUGGCCUUCCUGGGAUCAACUCAACUCAGCCAAGGCUCUUGGGUGGCACGGGAGAGCAGGUGUUAUAAAUCGUGCUUCUGUGAAGAAGGCUGUGCAGUAUCAUUUGAGGAUACAUUUGCAGUUCCUUUAGCUAGAUAACUUUAUGCCCUUGAAUCCACACAAUCUGGAUGACUUUCUUUGCAUCAUCACUGGAAAUUCCUUGUGUGAGUGAGGAACUCCUGUCAGUGGGACCGGCUAAGCAGGGGCUCAGACACCAACUCCUUGGAAGCUCCUGAUGAGAACAAAUCAUGCCACGUGGUCUCUGGUCUUUCCCAACACCCACUGAGCUUCUCUGGAGUCCUUUCUUGCUUGUGGCCACCCAGGGAUUUUGCCUGUAAAGGAUUUUAUCCAUCCAUGCUACUUUUACUUUGGUUUUGUCUAUGGAAUAAAUAUGUCUUAAGAA
Mus musculus (house mouse) is the source of this 905-nucleotide long non-coding RNA. RefSeq annotates it as predicted gene, 35333. NCBI's taxonomy places the organism in Eukaryota, Metazoa, Chordata, Mammalia, Rodentia, Muridae. The record is from RefSeq and is a predicted model, not a curated record. The transcript has 4 exons.